RNAcentral lists this ribosomal RNA (521 nucleotides) under uncultured bacterium. RNAcentral describes it as "bacterial SSU rRNA". It matches the Rfam family "Bacterial small subunit ribosomal RNA", at positions 8 to 524 of the family's 1533-position model. The record is from RNAcentral.
AGAGUUUGAUCCUGGCUCAGAUUGAACGCUGGCGGAAUGCUUUACACAUGCAAGUCGAACGGCAGCACGGACUUCGGUCUGGUGGCGAGUGGCGAACGGGUGAGUAAUACAUCGGAACGUGCCCAGUCGUGGGGGAUAACGUAGCGAAAGCUACGCUAAUACCGCAUACGAUCUACGGAUGAAAGCGGGGGAUCGCAAGACCUCGCGCGAUUGGAGCGGCCGAUGGCAGAUUAGGUAGUUGGUGGGGUAAAGGCUCACCAAGCCGACGAUCUGUAGCUGGUCUGAGAGGACGACCAGCCACACUGGGACUGAGACACGGCCCAGACUCCUACGGGAGGCAGCAGUGGGGAAUUUUGGACAAUGGGCGCAAGCCUGAUCCAGCCAUUCCGCGUGCAGGACGAAGGCCUUCGGGUUGUAAACUGCUUUUGUACAGAACGAAAAGCUCUGGGUUAAUACCCUGGGGUCAUGACGGUACUGUAAGAAUAAGCACCGGCUAACUACGUACCAGCAGCCGCGGUAAU